CCAAAAACGCCUUUCAAUUUUUUUUCAAAAAAAUAAUACAAAUUUAUUUUUUACUUUUUUAAAAAAUAUUUGUUAUUUUAUAAUAAUUUCUAUAAAUUUUAAAUAUUUAAUCAAAAUAUAAAUUAUGAAAUAUAAUUAUUUAUAUUUUUAGAUUUUAUAUAAAUUUUUUAAAAAAUUAAAAAAAUAAAUAAUUUAAGGGG
RNAcentral lists this long non-coding RNA (200 nucleotides) under Ananas comosus (pineapple). RNAcentral's name for it is "long non-coding RNA (ACOM_LNC042493)". The record is from RNAcentral. Lineage: Eukaryota; Viridiplantae; Streptophyta; Magnoliopsida; Poales; Bromeliaceae.